Ceratotherium simum simum (southern white rhinoceros) is the source of this 111-nucleotide non-coding RNA. Lineage: Eukaryota; Metazoa; Chordata; Mammalia; Perissodactyla; Rhinocerotidae. The record is from RefSeq and is a predicted model, not a curated record.
AAAAACAAGAGACAACAAAUGUUGUAAAGGAUAUGGAGCAAAGGAAACCCUUGCGCACCGCUGGUGGGAAUGUAAAUUGGUGCAGCCACUAUAGAAAACAGUAUAAAGAUU